GUGUCAGCCGCCGCGGUAAUACGUAGGGGGCAAGCGUUAUCCGGAUUUAUUGGGCGUAAAGCGCGCGUAGGCGGCUUGUUAAGCGAGAUGUGAAAACCGGGGGCUUAACCCGCGGCCUGCAUCUCGAACUGGCAGGCUUGAGUCUGGUAGAGGAAAGUGGAAUUCCCAGUGUAGCGGUGAAAUGCGCAGAUAUUGGGAGGAACACCAGUGGCGAAGGCGGCUUUCUGGGCCACGACUGACGCUGAGGCGCGAAAGCUAGGGGAGCGAACAGGAUUAGAUACCCCUGUAGUCC
Molecule: ribosomal RNA, 292 nt
Filed under: uncultured bacterium
Lineage: Bacteria
Description: partial 16S ribosomal RNA
Rfam family: Bacterial small subunit ribosomal RNA
Source: RNAcentral